GAUGAACGCUGGCGGCGUGCCUAAUACAUGCAAGUCGAGCGAACGGACGAGAAGCUUGCUUUUCUGAUGUUAGCGGCGGACGGGUGAGUAACACGUGGAUAACCUACCUAUAAGACUGGGAUAACUUCGGGAAACCGGAGCUAAUACCGGAUAAUAUUUUGAACCGCAUGGUUCAAAAGAGAAAAAAGGUCUUGCUGAUACAUAUAGAUGGAUUCGCGCUGCAUUAGCUAGUUGGUAAGGUAACGGCUUACCAAGGCAACGAUGGAUAGCCCACCUGAGAGAGGGAUCGGCCAAACUGGAACGGAGACACGGUCCAGACUCCUACGGGAGGCAGCAGUAGGGAAUCUUCCGCAAUGGGCGAAAGCCUGACGGAGCAACGCCGCGGGGGUGAUGAAGGUCUUCGGAUCGUAAAACUCUGUUAUUAGGGAAGAACAUAUGUGUAAGUAACUGUGCACAUCUUGACGGUACCUAAUCAGAAAGCCACGGCUAACUACGUG
This 497-nucleotide ribosomal RNA is filed under the name uncultured bacterium. RNAcentral describes it as "partial 16S ribosomal RNA". It matches the Rfam family "Bacterial small subunit ribosomal RNA", at positions 28 to 507 of the family's 1533-position model. The record is from RNAcentral.